UACGGAGGGUGCAAGCGUUAUCCGGAUUCACUGGGUUUAAAGGGUGCGUAGGCGGACAGGUAAGUCAGUGGUGAAAUCUCUGGGCUUAACCCAGAAACUGCCGUUGAUACUAUUUGUCUUGAAUAUCCUGGAGGUAGGCGGAAUAUGUCAUGUAGCGGUGAAAUGCUUAGAUAUGACAUAGAACGCCGAUAGCGAAGGCAGCUUACUACAGGAUGAUUGACGCUGAGGCACGAAAGCGUGGGGAGCAAACAGG
RNAcentral lists this ribosomal RNA (253 nucleotides) under uncultured bacterium. RNAcentral describes it as "partial 16S ribosomal RNA". It matches the Rfam family "Bacterial small subunit ribosomal RNA", at positions 524 to 776 of the family's 1533-position model. The record is from RNAcentral.